CCGAAUUGCCGAAGUUUUUAAGCUCCGUCUCUCUCCUUUCCUCCAUCCCGUACCCCUCUCCUCUCUCUACAUGGCGGCGAUUAGGAGACUGGUUGGCCAAAGCAUCAGAGUAGGUCUUCUUCCUCCUGUUCUGUUCACAUGCUGUAGAGGCAUAACUACUAAGCUCUUCGUUGGAGGGUUAUCAUUUUACACCACGGAGGAUGGAUUAUCAGAAGCAUUUUCUCAGUGUGGUCAAGUCAUCGAAGCUAAAAUUGUGAUGGAUAGAGUCUCAGACAAAUCUAAAGGAUUUGGAUUCAUUACUUUUGCAUCCGAAGACGAAGCCCAAAAGGCAAUAACUGAGAUGAACGGAAAGGCUCUGAAUGGGCGCGUUAUUUUUGUGGAUAUUGCGAAGCCCAAAACAAGUUACGGUGGAAUGCCAAUAGCUAGAGGGCCUCCCGAGCCAACAUCUAGAGGGCCUCCUGAGCCAACAUCUGGCAGUUGAUUAGGAAAUACAGGUGCAUAUAUAGAAGAAGACUUGGAUUAUCGCAUGUUAUAUCUUGGUCAAGCUUGAUUAUUUUAUUUGUUGAUUUGAGCCUGAUGUUGAAGAGUUGUGUGUUAUUCCUUAUGAAUGCUGGAUGCUACUGUUAGAACUUAGAAUGACACCUUUUGCACCAGAACCAAGAGAGAAUUGAAUUUUAAAUCAGAAGACUCAGCAUGGGAGGUGCAGGGAAUGAGGCUGGCUAUGGAUGCUUCCUAUUGUUAUCGGUGCAAAUAUAUUAUAUUUGACAGGCAAGUCGCGAGUAACGAGUGAACCAUUCGUUAAAAAGCCCAGCUUGUUAUUAACAAGCGAGUGAGGCAUCAAGCCGGCUUGUAAACUCAUGGGCCUUGUUAUCUUUUCAUAUGAAGGGUCAUUAUGGCUGGCCUUGUUAGCUGAGUGUGUCUUGACUUGAGUGGGGGGAGCAGGACAUUGUGCUUUGGGGAACAAGGAAAUGCCCAUUACUGGAUUCAAUGUUGCUGGAGUUGUGUUCCAAGGGCAGCUUACUUUCUUAUUUGCUGACCAUAUGUCGCAAACUUGACCACAUUAUGCAGCCUGUGAACCAUGUAUAGAUUGCGUCUAACAAACUUGGUUGUGAUA
Molecule: RNA transcript, 1114 nt
Organism: Tripterygium wilfordii
Lineage: Eukaryota; Viridiplantae; Streptophyta; Magnoliopsida; Celastrales; Celastraceae
Gene name: small RNA-binding protein 11, chloroplastic-like
Exons: 6
Source: RefSeq, a predicted model, not a curated record